UACAGAGUGACAGCCCAUUCUACUGAACAAACCCCUCCACUCUGGCAAUGAGUGGUCUUCAGCAUCAAGCCACUAUCUCUACACCUGGCAUGAGAUCUCUGCCCACCUGUCCACCAGCCGUACCAGGCCUGGAUGGCCCCAGUGUGGACCCACCAGACCACACAAGCGCUCUUGAAAAUUGUACUUGUAUCCUCAGGUGGCAAAAUCCCAAGGUAAACUUAUUGAGCUCGGCAGCCAUCACCACAAUGUAAUAUUAGAAUGUUACCAUCAUAUAGAUGAGUCUCUCCUGCCUUUUAGUGUUUAUUCUCCAUUCCCAUCCCCAUCCUUGGAGUCUGGCAGCCAUUAAACUGUCUAUGUGCACUUGCCUUUU
Molecule: long non-coding RNA, 370 nt
Organism: Canis lupus familiaris (dog)
Lineage: Eukaryota; Metazoa; Chordata; Mammalia; Carnivora; Canidae
Exons: 3
Source: RefSeq, a predicted model, not a curated record